CCUACGGGUGGCAGCAGUGAGGAAUAUUGGUCAAUGGGCUUACGCCUGAACCAGCCAAGUCGCGUGAGGGAAGACUGCCCUAUGGGUUGUAAACCUCUUUUGUCAGGGAGCAACGCCUGCUACGUGUAGCCGGACUUAUAGUACCUGAAGACAAAGCCUCGGCUAACUCCGUGCCAGCAGCCGCGUUAAUACGGAGGAUGCGAGCUUUAUCCGUUUUUAUGGGGUUAAAGGGGUGCUUGGGCGGAAUGCCAAGUCAGCGGUAAAAUCUCGGGGCAAACCUUCGCUCCGCCGUUGAACUGGCGUUCUUGAGUGGGCGAGAAGUAGGCGGAAUGCGUGGUGUAGCGGUGAAAUGCAUAGAUAUCACGAAGAACUCCGAUUGCGAAGGCAGCAUACCGGAGCCCAACUGACGCUGAAGCACGAAAGCGUGGGUAUCGAACAGGAUUAGAUACCCGGGUAGUC
RNAcentral lists this ribosomal RNA (459 nucleotides) under uncultured bacterium. Its description in RNAcentral is "partial 16S ribosomal RNA". It matches the Rfam family "Bacterial small subunit ribosomal RNA", at positions 338 to 795 of the family's 1533-position model. The record is from RNAcentral.